RNAcentral lists this transfer RNA (92 nucleotides) under Candidatus Pelagibacter sp. Its description in RNAcentral is "tRNA-Ser". It matches the Rfam family "tRNA". From Rfam's summary of the family: Transfer RNA (tRNA) molecules are approximately 80 nucleotides in length. Their secondary structure includes four short double-helical elements and three loops (D, anti-codon, and T loops). The record is from RNAcentral. Lineage: Bacteria; Pseudomonadati; Pseudomonadota; Alphaproteobacteria; Candidatus Pelagibacterales; Candidatus Pelagibacteraceae.
GGAAGAGUGGGUGAGUGGUUUAAACCAGUUGGUUGCUAACUAACCGUACGAGUAACAUCGUACCGAGAGUUCGAAUCUCUCCUCUUCCGCCA